UACGAAGGGGGCGAGCGUUGUUCGGAUUUACUGGGCGUAAAGGGCGCGCAGGCGGCAGAUCAAGUCAGACGUGAAAGCCCCGGGCUUAACCUGGGAACUGCGUUUGGGACUGGUUUGCUAGAGAUCGGGAGAGGAGAGUGGAAUUCCCAGUGUAGAGGUGAAAUUCGUAGAUAUUGGGAAGAACACCGGUGGCGAAGGCGGCUCUCUGGACCGAUACUGACGCUGAGGCGCGAAAGCGUGGGGAGCAAACUGG
Molecule: ribosomal RNA, 253 nt
Filed under: uncultured bacterium
Lineage: Bacteria
Description: partial 16S ribosomal RNA
Rfam family: Bacterial small subunit ribosomal RNA
Source: RNAcentral